GGCUAAGUCAUUGAUCUAGAACAAUACAUUGAUAACUCAUAAUCAUGGGGUCGGCGGUUCAAGUCCGCCCCUAGCCACCA
The sequence is a transfer RNA, 80 nucleotides long. It matches the Rfam family "tRNA". From Rfam's summary of the family: Transfer RNA (tRNA) molecules are approximately 80 nucleotides in length. Their secondary structure includes four short double-helical elements and three loops (D, anti-codon, and T loops). Further hydrogen bonds mediate the characteristic L-shaped molecular structure. tRNAs have two regions of fundamental functional importance: the anti-codon, which is responsible for specific mRNA codon recognition, and the 3' end, to which the tRNAs corresponding amino acid is attached (by aminoacyl-tRNA synthetases). tRNAs cope with the degeneracy of the genetic code in two manners: having more than one tRNA (with a specific anti-codon) for a particular amino acid; and 'wobble' base-pairing, i.e. permitting non-standard base-pairing at the 3rd anti-codon position.